GAACCCAAAAAGAAAAAAUGCACCAGUAUUUUCGAAAACGAUUAAUUUGGCGGGCAUCGUUCUUUCUCAUUUCUUAAACCUGCCCUAAACCCUAGCCAGAUUGGGGAAGAGAAAAGAGGAAAUUCGAAAGCAACAACAAUGGCGACGGCUGGAUUAUAUCGUCGGGUUCUUCCAUCACCUCCCGCCAUUGAGUUUGCUUCCACUGAAGGCAAGAAACUUUUCAUAGAAGCUGUUCAAGAUGGAACAAUGGAGGGUUUCUUCAAAUUGAUUUCUUACUUCCAAACACAAUCAGAGCCUGCCUAUUGUGGAUUAGCUAGCCUUUCAAUGGUUUUAAAUGCGCUUUCCAUUGAUCCCGGGAGAACUUGGAAAGGACCAUGGAGAUGGUUUGAUGAAUCUAUGCUGGACUGUUGUGAGCCUCUAGAAAAAGUAAAAUCUAAAGGGAUUUCCUUUGGGAAACUUACGUGUUUGGCUCAAUGUGCUGGCGCAAAUGUUCAAGCUUUUCGUACCAGCGAAAGUUCUAUUAAAGAGUUUAGAAAUUAUGUGAAGACAUGCUCGGUAUCAGACGAGUGUCAUGUCAUCUCAUCCUACCAUAGAGGGAUUUUUAAGCAGACUGGAUCUGGUCACUUCUCUCCUAUUGGUGGUUAUCAUGGUGGAAAAGAUAUGGCAUUGGUUCUAGAUGUUGCUCGUUUUAAAUAUCCACCUCAUUGGAUCCCUCUAUCUCUUCUUUGGGAAGCCAUGGAUACAGUAGUUGAAGCAAGCGACGAACACAGAGGGUACAUGCUCAUAUCAAGACAGCAACAUGAGCCAGCACUUCUUUAUACCUUGAGUUGUAAGCAUGAGAGCUGGGCUAGUAUAGCAAAAUACUUGAUGGAGGAUGUACCUCUUCUCUUAAAGUCAGAGAAUGUGCAGGAUAUUGAGGGAGCCAUCUCUGUUGUGUGCAUGUCAUUACCUUCUAACUUCAGGGACUUUAUUAAGUGGGUGGCUGAAGUUCGAAGGCAUGAAGAUGAUGGUCAAAGUCUAAGCCAGGAGGAAAUGAGAAGGCUUGUGCUGAAGGAAGAGCUACUCAAACAAGUUCAGGAGACGGGUCUAUAUAAACAAGUUACUAUAUUUCUAUCUUCAGCAUUGUGUUCCAGAAAAGGUGUUAUGUUUGGUCAUGAACACAGUUUAUCUGAUGUUGCAGCAGCGGUUUGUUGUGAGGGAGCAGAGCUUUUAAAUGGUCAACCUGGCUCUUUUGGUGGAUUUUGUUGUGAGAAAACAUCCGUGAAACAGAUAAGAGGUGAUGGUGGAAAACCCGUAACUCUAGUCUCGGGUACUGUAAAGGAUGGUGCAAGUCAGCAAGGAUUGCAAAUUUUGGUCCCCAUGACUCAAAAAAAAUUCAAUUGCUGCUCGGAUCCAAGUUGUCCUGGAAGGCACCCUGCUGGAAAUGAUGUUCUGACUAUACUUUUGCUUGCACUGCCUGUGCAAACAUGGUCUGGUAUUAAAGAUGAAAUGCUUGUCGAAGACUUGACAAGAUUGGUUUCUACUGAACAUCUUCCUGCUUUAUUGAAGGAGGAGGUAUUGCAUUUGCGACGUCAGCUUAUUCUUCUCGAGAGAUUUCAGGAUAAUGAGGUGGAUCAAUGGAUGGCGGUCUAGGCGGUCUAGCCGGUCUUAGUGCACUUUCCUUGUAAUGUAUAUAAUCUUUUCUGAUCCCUCACAUUCUACUUUGGGAAGCAACUGACGUCCAAAAAUCGCUAUUCAUUCCCGACUCUCUUGAGUCUUGGCCAUGAUUUGAAAUCCCUUUAUCAAGAUUUGAAUCAGUCACUUUUGCCUGCAAAGAAGAAGCACAGACAAACUUAGCAGGGCUCUACUGAAACUAUAAAGACUCGAGAAGUUUAAAACCAGAGGCAUACAAUACAUCAGAAGGAAUUGAAGUGAGGAGAUAACAGAAGCAUAGUUACAAGCUCAUGAGCUAACUGCAGAGCAGAACAAAAUCAAGUUGACUGAAUAGAGUGGUUAGUUAGCUCAUGAGUUCUACUGGAUGUAUCUACAAAGUAUAUUAAAGAACUUGUAACGGUUGAUCUGGCCUUGAAACCACUCUAUUAUCAUGUGGAAAAGUGGCCUAAAUGCAGCCUUAUUGUUGAGUUCCCUUUCUGUCAAGAUGAUGACACAAUCAGCAUAAAAAAUUUACCAACUAUGCAAUUUCCCUUGGACAU
Spinacia oleracea (spinach) is the source of this 2192-nucleotide RNA transcript. It is a transcript of the gene named glutathione gamma-glutamylcysteinyltransferase 1, with no coding region annotated. The record is from RefSeq and is a predicted model, not a curated record. NCBI's taxonomy places the organism in Eukaryota, Viridiplantae, Streptophyta, Magnoliopsida, Caryophyllales, Amaranthaceae. The transcript is spliced from 9 exons.